AGAAAGUAAGAUAGGAACUAAUUCAGCUAAUUUUUAAACUUGGGCCAAUCCUUAUUUCUAGAAAGCCAUUUUCAGCAGCCCAAUUCGCCAAACAAAUGCCCCAGCCCACAUCCUCACCAACCCGACUCGGCCCAAACACCUACAACUAAAGCCCCCUUAAGUUCCUAAUCCAUCUUCAGUACCAGAACCAAGCGAUCCCCUUAUCUCUUCAACGUAAGCCUAGCAAAUAGCAAUAUCCCACCAAAUCCCACCAACGUAAGCCUAGCAAUAUCCCACCAAAUCCCCUCUUCUCCUUUCUCACACUCCAUCUCUGAAGCUUGCAGGCUCAAUGUGCGAUUUCAGCGGAUUUCAUGGUAAGUCCCAUCCCUAUUUUCAUCAUCUCAUCUGUGGAAAAUAUCUCCCAAAAUUUCUCUUAUUUUUGAAUUUCGAAUUCUUGCUUCUUUGUGGAGCUGUUGAAACCCUCAGUUGUUACCUAUAAAUAGAAGCCCUUAGUGAGCUAUUUGGGACAGGUUCAAGUGUUGGAAAUUCCUCUUGAAUAACCCCCCAAAAAAAAUCUCAUCUGUUUUCAUCAAGCUUUUCAUAAAAAAAAAAAAAUCUUUUUUUACUCUAAGUUGGUGGUCUCAAAAAUUGUCUUUUAACUCUAAUUUUGUUUUGUCGAAUUCUUGGUGGUUCUCGGCUAAACAAGCUCUUCAAAAGGAUUCUCGAGACGACAACAAGCCUCAGUUCGCUGUCACGGAGAAGCAACCUGGGGAGUGCAUUGGAGUUGUGAUACAACUUCAGCUCUGCCCCGAAUUAGGAGAGCACCAGCAAUCGCAUUUUCAGCUAGAGCCUAGCAGCCCCGUUUGCAUCAAAGCGUCCGCGUCCCUCUUCCUCUCUUUAAAUUUUAUAGCUUCUUGUAUUGAUAUGUGAUAUGCUGAUUGACUAAAGUUUUUAUGGGUUUGUAUUCGUAGUAUUCUGUUUCUAGCUUGUUGUUAGUAAACUCGUGAACGCCCGAGAAUGAUUGCUUCAAAUAAAUUUUCACUAAGAAAAAACAAA
Molecule: long non-coding RNA, 1035 nt
Organism: Lycium barbarum (goji berry)
Lineage: Eukaryota; Viridiplantae; Streptophyta; Magnoliopsida; Solanales; Solanaceae
Exons: 2
Source: RefSeq, a predicted model, not a curated record